Molecule: ribosomal RNA, 447 nt
Filed under: uncultured bacterium
Lineage: Bacteria
Description: partial 16S ribosomal RNA
Rfam family: Bacterial small subunit ribosomal RNA
Source: RNAcentral
GCCAGACUCCUACGGGAGGCAGCAGUGGGGGAUAUUGCACAAUGGGGGGAACCCUGAUGCAGCGACGCCGCGUGGGUGAAGGAGCGUUUCGGCGCGUAAAGCCCUAUCGGCAGGGAAGAAGGAGGACGGUACCUGACUAAGAAGCCCCGGCUAACUACGUGCCAGCAGCCGCGGUAAUACGUAGGGGGCAAGCGUUAUCCGGAUUUACUGGGUGUAAAGGGGGCGCAGACGGCAGCGCAAGCCAGGAGUGAAAGCCCGGGGCCCAACCCCGGGACUGCUCUUGGAACUGCGCGGCUGGAGUGCAGGAGGGGCAGGCGGAAUUCCUGGUGUAGCGGUGAAAUGCGUAGAUAUCAGGAGGAACGCCGGUGGCGAAGGCGGCCUGCUGGACUGCGACUGACGUUGAGGCCCGAAGGCGUGGGGAGCAAACAGGAUUAGAUACCCCGGUAC